RNAcentral lists this ribosomal RNA (505 nucleotides) under uncultured bacterium. RNAcentral's name for it is "partial 16S ribosomal RNA". It matches the Rfam family "Bacterial small subunit ribosomal RNA", at positions 28 to 507 of the family's 1533-position model. The record is from RNAcentral.
GACGAACGCUGGCGGCGUGCCUAAUACAUGCAAGUAGAACGCACAGUUUAUACCGUAGCUUGCUACACCAUAAACUGUGAGUUGCGAACGGGUGAGUAACGCGUAGGUAACCUGCCUGGUAGCGGGGGAUAACUAUUGGAAACGAUAGCUAAUACCGCAUAAUAUUGAUUAUUGCAUGAUAAUUGAUUGAACGAUGCUAUUGCAUCACUACCAGAUGGACCUGCGUUGUAUUAGCUAGUAGGUGAGGUAACGGCUCACCUAGGCGACGAUACAUAGCCGACCUGAGAGGGUGAGCGGCCACACUGGGACUGAGACACGGCCCAGACUCCUACGGGAGGCAGCAGUAGGGAAUCUUCGGCAAUGGACGAAAGUCUGACCGAGCAACGCCGCGUGAGUGAAGAAGGUUGUCGGAUCGUAAAGCUCGGUUGUAAGAGAAGAACGGGUGUGAGAGUGGAAAGUUCACACUGUGACGGUAUCUUACCAGAAAGGGACGGCUAACUACGUG